RNAcentral lists this ribosomal RNA (966 nucleotides) under Triticum aestivum (bread wheat). RNAcentral describes it as "partial small subunit ribosomal RNA". The record is from RNAcentral. Lineage: Eukaryota; Viridiplantae; Streptophyta; Magnoliopsida; Poales; Poaceae.
AUGAAUGCUGCUCUCACCGUCGCCGUAGCCGGGGAAGAAAUCGACGAGGCCGUAGCCGGGGAAGAAAUCGACGAGGCCGCCUCUCGGGCUCAGGCUGACAUGUUGGAGAUCAUGUCGUCGCUCCCACGGUGCCCGGUGUACCUUACUCGCCACUACCGCGGCUUCUGGAUCCGCGACUGCCCCAAGUCCGGCACCACCUGGCUCAAGGCGCUCGCCUUUGCGACGCUCAACCGCGCCAGGCACUUGCCGUCCGACUCCAACCACCCGCUAUGCCACCGCAACCCGCACGACUGCGUCGCCUUCCUCGAGACCAGGCCCGUGCCUGAGACCAUGGCGCUCCCUUCUCCCCGGCUGCUCACAACCCACAUCCCCUGCUCCCUCCUGCCCAGCCGCAUAACGGAAUGCGGCCGGGUCGUCUACGUGUGCCGGGAGCCAAAGGACACUCUGGUCUCCUUCUGGAUCUACAACAACAAGAUCGCGCCGAUGCUGCGCCGGAAGUUCGGCCUGGAGUCUCCCUCGCCCACGUUCGAGGAGGCGUUCGAGCUCUUCUGCGAGGGGCAGAGCAGCUCCGGACCGCCGUGGCGCCACGCCCUCGAGUACUGGGAGGAGAGCCGGAGGAGGCCUGGGAAGGUGCUCUUCCUCAGGUACGAGGACAUGCUGCAAGACCCCACAGGCAACGCCAAGAAUCUCGCUGCGUUCAUGGGGUGCCCGUUUUCUUGCGCAGAGGAGGAGGCAGGGGUGGUGCAGGAGAUCGUGCAACUCUGUAGCUUUGAGAAACUCAAGAGCUCGGAGGUGAACAAGAAUGGCAGCAGCGCCAUGAUGGGCGUCAACAACGACGUAUACUUCAGGAAGGGAGCGGUCGGCGACUGGAAAAACUACAUGACGCCGGAGAUGGCGGCGCGGCUGGACAAGAUCGUCGAGGAGGCGCUUCAAGGUUCAGGCCUGACCUUUGGCAUCUCCAUGUAG